UCACCUCUCCGACAACCACCAUAUUUGAUUUGAUUCUUUUCUCCUCCCUCUUCGUUUUCCUUUUUUGCAGGUGUAUUUGAGAUGGUGAUUAUCGACUUGUUCAGACCAAGAUAAAGGGUUACACUUACAGCCAGGCAUCCACUUCUUUUAUCAAAGUCAAGCGUCAAUUAAUUUUUUUAUUAAGACAAAGCAUCUUUCUUUUAUUAAACCAAGGAUGUGAUGCCAGGUCCGUUUCAUUUUAUUAAAGCCAACCAGGUCCAUUUCUCUUUGUCCAUUUCUUUUUUAUUAAAGCCAACCAUGUGAUGCUCCAGAUCCAUUUCUUUUAUUAAAGCCAUAGGCAAUGAGUCAUCCUGGACAUGAGGUUGAUUGAGGGGAUAUGAUUGAGGUGGUUAGGUGAGUCAUCCUGGACUGAGUCGCAUUCACGAUGAAAAUAAUGGAUAGCCAUCGGCGUGGCUUUCGAGGUCAAGUAGCCUCUUGAUUCAGCUUGCGAGAGGGACGAUAAGUACCGCCUUUCUAGUCAACCUCACAAGUUGUCAGUACAACCGCGAGUGAAUGAGGGUGAUCGAUUCGAAUGAUAGGUCGAAUGAGAGCUGGCCUCGACUCGUCCUGGCUCUGGAAGGUCGAUUGCCUAGGUGACCCAAGUCGUCUCCGGCUGGGUUGAGCUGACAUGAUUGAUGCUAAGAUCCGACACGUGUCGGCUUCAUGAGGAUGAUCGAUACUUCAGGUUAAUUGAUGUUAUAACGGAUUCUAUUCUUUUUUUUUUUUUGUAUGGUUCUUAUCAAAUCUUUACAUCAGCCUCAUCAAAUCUUUAGUAGUUUAAACAUAAUCCCUCAAAUCAUUGAGUUUGCUAUUA
Long non-coding RNA from Asparagus officinalis (garden asparagus), 853 nucleotides. RefSeq lists it as uncharacterized. NCBI's taxonomy places the organism in Eukaryota, Viridiplantae, Streptophyta, Magnoliopsida, Asparagales, Asparagaceae. The transcript is spliced from 2 exons. The record is from RefSeq and is a predicted model, not a curated record.